This 482-nucleotide ribosomal RNA is filed under the name uncultured bacterium. Its description in RNAcentral is "partial 16S ribosomal RNA". It matches the Rfam family "Bacterial small subunit ribosomal RNA", at positions 28 to 507 of the family's 1533-position model. The record is from RNAcentral.
GACGAACGCUGGCGGCGUGCUUAACACAUGCAAGUCGAACGCUGAAGCUCAGCUUGCUGGGUGGAUGAGUGGCGAACGGGUGAGUAACACGUGAGUAACCUGCCCUCUUCUUUGGGAUAACGCCCGGAAACGGGUGCUAAUACUGGAUAUUCACUGAUUCUCGCAUGGGGGUUGGUGGAAAGGUUUUUUCUGGUGGGGGAUGGGCUCGCGGCCUAUCAGCUUGUUGGUGGGGUGAUGGCCUACCAAGGCUUUGACGGGUAGCCGGCCUGAGAGGGUGACCGGUCACAUUGGGACUGAGAUACGGCCCAGACUCCUACGGGAGGCAGCAGUGGGGAAUAUUGCACAAUGGGCGAAAGCCUGAUGCAGCGACGCCGCGUGAGGGAUGGAGGCCUUCGGGUUGGAAACCUCUUUCGCUCAUGGUCAAGCCGCAGCUUUGGGUUGUGGUGAGGGUAGUGGGUAAAGAAGCGCCGGCUAACUACGUG